This 1266-nucleotide ribosomal RNA is filed under the name uncultured bacterium. RNAcentral's name for it is "bacterial SSU rRNA". It matches the Rfam family "Bacterial small subunit ribosomal RNA", at positions 180 to 1449 of the family's 1533-position model. The record is from RNAcentral.
AUCGGACCGCAUGAUCUGAUCCGGAUACACUCCGUGAUAGUAUAGGAUGGACCCGCGUCUGAUUAGCUUGUUGGCGGGGUAACGGCCCAACCAAGGCGACGAUCAGUAGCCGGACCUGAGAGGGUGAACAGGCCACAUUGGGACUGAGACACGGCCCAGAACUCCUACGGGGAGGCAGCAGUGGGGAAUAUUGCACAAUGGGGGAAACCCUGAUGCAGCAACGCCGCGUGAGCGAAGAAGUAUUUCGGUAUGUAAAGCUCUAUCAGCAGGGAAGAAAAUGACGGUACCUGACUAAGAAGCACCGGCUAAAUACGUGCCAGCAGCCGCGGUAAUACGUAUGGUGCAAGCGUUAUCCGGAUUUACUGGGUGUAAAGGGAGCGCAGGCGGCGUGCCAAGCCUGAUGUGAAAACCCGGGGCUCAACCCCGGGACUGCAUUGGGAACUGGUGUGCUGGAGUGUCGGAGGGGUAAGCGGAAUUCCUGGUGUAGCGGUGAAAUGCGUAGAUAUCAGGAGGAACACCGGUGGCGAAGGCGGCUUACUGGACGAUCACUGACGCUGAGGCUCGAAAGCGUGGGGAGCAAACAGGAUUAGAUACCCUGGUAGUCCACGCCCGUUAAACGGAUGAAUACCCAGGGUGUCGGCAUCCAUGGGGUGUCGGUGCCGAAGCUAACGCAUUAAGUAUUCCACCUGGGGAGUACGUACGCAAGUAUGAAACUCAAAGGAAUUGACGGGGUACCCGCACAAGCGGUGGAGCAUGUGGUUUAAUUCGAAGCAACGCGAAGAACCUUACCAGGCCUUGACAUCCCUCGGACCGGUCCGUAAUGGGACCUUCCUCGUUCGAGACUGAGGUGACAGGUGGUGCAUGGUUGUCGUCAGCUCGUGUCGUGAGAUGUUGGGUUAAGUCCCGCAACGAGCGCAACCCUUGUCCUUAGUAGCCAGCAGUUCGGCUGGGCACUCUAGGGAGACUGCCGGGGACAACCCGGAGGAAGGCGGGGACGACGUCAAAUCAUCAUGCCCCUUAUGGCCUGGGCUACACACGUGCUACAAUGGCGUAAACAAAGGGAUGCGGGAGCGCGAGCUUAAGCGAAGCCCAAAAAUAACGUCUCAGUUCGGAUUGCAGGCUGCAACCCGCCUGCAUGAAGCUGGAAUCGCUAGUAAUCGCGAAUCAGCAUGUCGCGGUGAAUACGUUCCCGGGUCUUGUACACACCGCCCGUCACACCAUGGGAGUCGGGAAUGCCCGAAGCCGGUGACCCAACCUUAUAGGAGU